RNAcentral lists this long non-coding RNA (591 nucleotides) under Spirodela polyrhiza (greater duckweed). RNAcentral's name for it is "long non-coding RNA (SPOL_LNC002367)". Lineage: Eukaryota; Viridiplantae; Streptophyta; Magnoliopsida; Alismatales; Araceae. The record is from RNAcentral.
CCCUCUUUGCUUCAAAAUUUUAUUUCUUCACCCUUUUGUAGUUGAUUGUUAUGAAUGAAUUGACUCACCUUAUAUAAAGAAGGCUUGGCAUUUUUGGACACUAAGUGAAUCAAUGACCUUAGUAGGAAAAGGCUAAAAGCUCACUAUGACAACAUACUAUCAAAGAAAUUGAGCUGACUCACUCAUUAUAGAAGUACCUACCUGAACAUAUCACCCUACAUAAUAAAAAAAACUUUAACAUUCACAAAGUAUAUACAAAAGUAAAAUGCUAUAAUCGAACAUUUGUAAAAGUCCUUGUUUAAAACUAUUAUUAAUUUCAAGAUAUUUCUAUUAUUUGAGAAAGUACCUAAGCGACUUGGGGCCUAUUAUUUGAAAAUAUUUAUAUUUUACACUUUGUAGUAGGAAGUGAGUUAGAUUCAUGAGUACACUCGCUUGGAAAGAAGGCAGUUGUGGGCAUAACAUUACAUGAGACAAUAAGAAAAAUGUAAGUUUCAAAAUUAAUCCACAACUAGUCAAUGAUGCCAUACAACAAAUUGUUGAGGUGAUUCAUUUAAACCAUUUUUGACCAUUACUACCUUAAAAUAAAAUUAA